UUAUCCGGUCGUCGGGAUCCCCAAACGAAGUUCUUUUUACCUGCACUGCUCCGUCUCUGGAGUACGAGCUUGUCUUCCUGAUGCAUGGCCCCAACUGGCUGGGUGCUGCGCUCUUCCUUGGGGUACAGCUCCGAGCGCUGUGGCCUGUGGCAGCUGUGGAAGUUCACACUGCCAAGGAGGUGGAUGCUGUGAAUGGAACUAACCUACGCUUAAAAUGCACCUUUUCUAGCAGCAGCCCUAUUAGCCAGCAGCUGUCAGUGAUCUGGAACUUCCAGCCUGAGGACCAGAGCUCUCAUGAGCCAGUAUUCUAUUACCUCAAGGAGCCCUACGAGAUGACUACUGGGCGGUUUAAAGAGCGAGUCACCUGGGAUGGGAAUAUUCAGCGUAACGAUGUUUCCAUCGUUAUCUGGAAUUUGCAGCCCUCUGACAACGGGACAUUCACAUGCCAGGUGAAGAACCCACCAGAUGUUGGUGGCACAGUUGGUGAAGUGCGACUCAGAGUUGUGCAGAAAGUGCAUUUCUCAGAAAUCCACUUCCUGGCAGUGGCCAUUGGGUCUGCCUGUGUUCUGAUGAUCAUUGUGGUGAUAGUUGUGAUUUUCUGUCGACACCAUCGGAAGAAACAGCAAGAGAAGAGGACUGAGGUGGCAGACACAGAACUUACCGAAAAGGAGAAGCUGCAGAUUGGAGAAGAAAAGGAAGCCACUCCAUUAGACGACUAGAAGUCUUUAACAGUACAUACAAUGCAGGUUUUUGUUCAAACAUUCUCUAUUUCAUGUCCCGGGGUUACUGCAGGCUUUCAAAGAAGGUUUUACUUAGGUAUUUCACCUCUAUUCACAGUCAACAGGUCAUGGUGGCCAUAAACACAAACUGCUGAGACCACAGUCACACUCUGCUCAUGGAGGAGCCUUCAGAGAGAGAAUGCCAACUGAAUGGGCAGUGGAGACAGAACUUCCUCUUAACCCUGGAAGAAGUUUCUCCACCUUAGUGUUGAGGAUCAUUGGUACUUCUAAAGCAGAUGGUGACAGCUUGUAAUUUCAGAUGUUAAGACACAGCUGAAUUACAGACGACUGAUGCUGCAAGUGUGGUAUCCCUGCUCAACCUGAAGUUCUUGCAGGAAAAGAGGGUGACAUUAACAUAAGUCGCAAGGUGUUAUCUGCUCUGAAGAAGAAGAAAAAUCCCCAAAGAGUUGAUCAAAAUGCCAGGAUACCUAGCUGGAGAUUUGCAAACCAUCCAAGCAAACACACACUCUUGCACCUUAAAAAGUAAAUGGUACACUUGGGUUGCCCUGUUGUGCGUCCCUCACAAACUUCUUUAAUGUCACUAGAAAAGAAGACUGUGUAGAUGAGGCAUCAGAGGAGCAGCUAGUUGCUAUAAGGUAUUUUAAAUUCCUUUGCUGCUUUAAAUGGAAAGUGCUACAGUUUGGGAAUGUAUGCGGUUUAACAGGGUUUAGCAACGAAUGUGUUUUUUAUAUUGAUCUUUUUUAACUCCGCUAAGCUUUGUAAAAUACGGUAGCUGGAAACACUGCCUUCCCCGGAGCAGACUGUGGCUUUGGCCGCUUGCCCCCUCUUCCCACUCCCUCCUCCCCUGAGCUCCUUCGCAUGCCGCUGCUCCCCGAGUGGUUUCACGCUAGUCACCGAACUCUGAGGCGCAGCGGGACGCGCUCCCCGCUCGCCAGCGCGUGCAUGGCCGGCGGUGGCUGUGGCCGUCGGAGCGCGGGCCGCCCCGGGCGCGCUGACACGCCGCAGUUUAAUCGGGGAUCAGCGGGCAGCGGCCGGCAGCGCUGCUUCAGGCUUCCCGAGGCAGCACUCUUAUCUCACUUUCUCUAGAUCAUAUUUAUUGUUCCACGCUAAUAACAUGAAAGCGCAUCUUACUGCUGCCUUUGAUACCUCUCCUACAUCCUCUUCGCCUCGGCAGACUUCAUUAGACCGAGACAAAGCCCCGAGCCAUUAAAACCAACCUGUAUUUCACCAGCGCUAAAUCAAAGUAUCAGCCUGUCUGUGUAAAGAGUGUCCUUAUGACUUUAUGACUUUGCCUGUAAUGUGCUGGCCACAUUAUCUGUUUGUACGUUUUCUUCUUCUGUCAAGUGUGUUAUAAAUAAACCUGGUUUGCAGACAGAA
Molecule: RNA transcript, 2117 nt
Organism: Dromaius novaehollandiae (emu)
Lineage: Eukaryota; Metazoa; Chordata; Aves; Casuariiformes; Dromaiidae
Gene: MPZL2
Gene name: myelin protein zero like 2
Exons: 6
Source: RefSeq, a predicted model, not a curated record